UACAGAGGGUGCGAGCGUUAAUCGGAAUUACUGGGCGUAAAGGGCGCGUAGGCGGUUAGAUAAGUUAGUUGUGAAAUCCCUGGGCUUAACCUCGGAACUGCGACUGAUACUGUUUAACUGGAGUGCGGUAGAGGGUAGUGGAAUUUCCGGUGUAGCGGUGAAAUGCGUAGAUAUCGGAAGGAACACCGGUGGCGAAGGCGGGUCUCUGGGCCGAUACUGACGCUGAGGAGCGAAAGCGUGGGGAGCAAACAGG
This 253-nucleotide ribosomal RNA is filed under the name uncultured bacterium. Its description in RNAcentral is "partial 16S ribosomal RNA". It matches the Rfam family "Bacterial small subunit ribosomal RNA", at positions 524 to 776 of the family's 1533-position model. The record is from RNAcentral.